CCGUGCGAAGGUAGCGCAAUCACUUGUCUUUUAAAUAGGGACCUGUAUGAAUGGCAUAACGAGGGCUUGACUGUCUCCUCUUUCAAGUCAAUGAAAUUGAUCUCCCCGUGCAGAAGCGGGGAUAAAUACAUAAGAACGAGAAGACCCUAUGGAGCUUUAGAACACUUAAGCAGAUCAGCAUUAAUACCCCACACACGGGAUUCGAAUAAACUGACCCCUGCCCUAAUGUCUUCGGUUGGGGCGACCGCGGAGAAAUAUAAAACCCCCGCAAGGACUGAAUGUACCACAUUCACAACCAAGAGUGACAGCUCUAAUUACCAGAAUUUCUGCCCAAUAAGAUCCGGCAAUGCCGAUCAAUGGACCAAGUUACCCUCGGAUAACAGCGCAAUCUCCUCUUUGAGCCCAUAUCGACGAGGAAGUUUACGACCUCGAUGUUGGAUCAGACAUCCUAAUGGUGCAGCCGCUAUUAAAGGUUCGUUUGUUCAACGAUUAAGUCCUACGUG
This 503-nucleotide ribosomal RNA is filed under the name Epinephelus coioides (orange-spotted grouper). RNAcentral's name for it is "partial 16S ribosomal RNA". It matches the Rfam family "Bacterial large subunit ribosomal RNA", at positions 1946 to 2602 of the family's 2925-position model. The record is from RNAcentral. Lineage: Eukaryota; Metazoa; Chordata; Actinopteri; Perciformes; Serranidae.